CUCAUAAAUCCGCACACGCGCCGACACAUUUUCCAGGGUGCUUUGGGUGAUGAACUCAGAGUUUGGUUAAUGGGGCGCGUGGAGGCCAAAC
This 91-nucleotide small RNA is filed under the name marine eukaryotic metagenome. Its description in RNAcentral is "t44 RNA". It matches the Rfam family "t44 RNA", at positions 13 to 95 of the family's 95-position model. Rfam says of the family: This family consists of a number of bacterial RNA genes of between 135 and 170 bases in length. The t44 gene is found between the map and rpsB genes in all species in the full alignment apart from Shigella flexneri. The record is from RNAcentral.